AAUCCAUUUUUUGGUAUCUUUUUAUAGAUUACAUUUAGUAUUCCGUUCGCGCUAGCUUCCAUAAUCUCUAGCAGCUCCGGUGCCGGUCAAGGUAUUUUUACCUCUCUUUUAUAAAUAUUAUUUAAAUCUUCUGUAAAAUACUAAUUAAAUGUGUGAAUACAAAAAGCUAAAUUAAAUCAGAGAUCGGUUUCCAAUUAUCUCUACUUUACGUUUGAAGAUUACAAUUUUUUUAUUACGUUUUUAUUAUUUAUAACGUUGUAAAUUUAUGGUGAUAUCUGUUAUCUACUAACUU
This 292-nucleotide small RNA is filed under the name Arabidopsis thaliana (thale cress). RNAcentral describes it as "ATSL288780". The record is from RNAcentral. Lineage: Eukaryota; Viridiplantae; Streptophyta; Magnoliopsida; Brassicales; Brassicaceae.